AAAAGAAGUCUUCUAAGAACUCCUGAAAUAAAACCCAAGUGUGACUGUACAGCAACAGCAGGGUGAUCUUCCCAUGGACCUGCCAUUCCCUUGGGCCCAGCAGAGCUCGGGAGGAAGGCUUUUCCUUCCCAAAAGCUCCCAUUAUCUUGGGACCCCUCCAGGGGAACAUGUGGCUGGAUGAAGCCCAUAUAACUUCUGAGGAGGAGCAAACCUGUCACCUAGAGAAAUUCAGUGGAAGAUCUCUUCAAGUAUCAACUACAGAGGACCACGAGGACUUCCAGCCCUGCAGAACAAGGGGAAGGCUGGAGAAAGCAGGAGUCACAGCCAUAUUGUAGCCUCUCUUCUGGGAUAUUUGCAGCCAAACUCUAAAACAACCAACAUACCUGGCAGCAAAAUCUGAGGUCUGCCCAUGAGGAUGUACAACAUAAAUGUGACAGCUUCUGUGGACACAAAGAAUUUCUUAUCCAGCACAUUAAACAUCUGGAUUCACCCUUUGCUGCUCAUGCAGCAGGACUAUCCUUCACAGAGUUAUUCCAGUAACACAGCUCAGGCAAAAUCCUAUUUAUUCGAUAGUAGCAGUUCCAUUAGACAUCCCCAAAUAACCCAAAUCUGACUGUAGAAAAAGAACAGUGUUAGCAUCCUAGACUUUUCUGGGCUCUGUGCUUCUCUCCUGUUUCUCUGGGACCUUCACCCUUCUCCUGGUGCUGCUCUUGGAGCUGCAGCACCUUCACCUCAGUCUUUUUAAAGCACAGGAAAAGCAGAGCUCUGUGUAUCCACAGAUGUUCUCCAUUGCCAGGGACAUAUUUUCCAUCACCAAAUAUGCCACGGACAGAGUCCUGUUGCUUGCAGGGUUUUGAAAGUUAUUUGCACAAAUUCACUGGGACAGCAUUCAGGAAAAAUGUGACCAUGUGUUUAUCUUGUCAUAUUUUCCCUUAAAUCACUGCUGUAAACCAAAAUUCUGGGCUAGAUGGCCCCUGACUGGUCAUUUUAAUGUUGUUUUCUACAAAUAAGUACGAGACUUGUGUUUGUACUCUCUGAUUCCAGCCCACAGUGCACAUGGUGAGCACAAGAGUGGGAUGAGAGAGGAUCAGGCCAGUGUCAUCCCUCAAAUUAAAGGAAACAAACAUGUAAGGGACAGGAUGAGCAUGAGAGCAGCUGUGCAGGAUCACACUGAUGGUCCACAUGAAGCACUUCCAGCAGUGACUGAGCAGAAAAUGGGAACUGUCCUUCUCCUAGGACAGCCUUGCAGUGACCUGUGGCUGUGAGUCACAGAAUACUCACAGUAGAGGCUGAGGUUGGAGGGAAAGUCUUGGUGUGAGCAGCAUGGAAAGUGAGGUUCAUCAGCUCUGGACAUAGCUGCUGGCUGUUCUGAAUCCUGUUUCUUUCACACUUGGUCUCAGUUCUUCAGGGUGAAGGUCUGAGCUUAAACAUCAGCAAGGAAAAUGUGCAGAAAUGCAUGGGAACCCGUGGGAUUGUGAGCAACAAUCCACAAGAGACACUGGAGAGGAUAAAUUGGGAGAGCUGAGAGGGCUCAGGGCAGAGGACAGGUUCACCUCGGCAAGCACUGAGGAGGUGUUUGGUCAUCUUCAAGCCCAGGUCCAGAAAUGUGGGAAGCAUCUGGGGGAGGUGCUUCAGCCUGCAUCCAUGACAGAGGGGCAGAGGUGCUG
Taeniopygia guttata (zebra finch) is the source of this 1667-nucleotide non-coding RNA. The record is from RefSeq and is a predicted model, not a curated record. Lineage: Eukaryota; Metazoa; Chordata; Aves; Passeriformes; Estrildidae.